RNAcentral lists this ribosomal RNA (580 nucleotides) under uncultured bacterium. Its description in RNAcentral is "bacterial SSU rRNA". It matches the Rfam family "Bacterial small subunit ribosomal RNA", at positions 102 to 669 of the family's 1533-position model. The record is from RNAcentral.
ACGGGUGAGUAACACGUAGGUAACCUGCCUGUAAGAUCGGGAUAACUAUCGGAAACGAUAGCUAAGACCGGAUAGCUGGUUUCUCCGCAUGGAGGAAUCAUGAAACACGGAGCAAUCUGUGGCUUACAGAUGGGCCUGCGGCGCAUUAGCUAGUUGGUAGGGUAACGGCCUACCAAGGCGACGAUGCGUAGCCGACCUGAGAGGGUGAACGGCCACACUGGGGCUGAGACACGGCCCAGACUCCUACGGGAGGCAGCAGUAGGGAAUCUUCCGCAAUGGACGCAAGUCUGACGGAGCAACGCCGCGUGAGUGAUGAAGGUUUUCGGAUCGUAAAGCUCUGUUGCCCUAGACAAACAGCAUGAGGAGUAACUGCCUUGUGUGUGACGGUAUAGGAGAAGAAAGCCCCGGCUAACUACGUGCCAGCAGCCGCGGUAAUACGUAGGGGGCAAGCGUUGUCCGGAAUUAUUGGGCGUAAAGCGCGCGCAGGCGGUUCAUUAAGUUGGGUGUUUAAGCCCGGGGCUCAACCCCGGUUCGCAUCCGAAACUGGUGAACUUGAGUGUAGGAGAGGAAAGUGGAAUUC